UCGGAUGGUGGACAGUGGCGCACGGGUGAGUAACACGUGGGGACCUGCCUGAUAGUAAGGGAUAACAGUUGGAAACGACUGCUAAUACCUUAUACGCCCUUAGGGGGAAAGAUUUAUCGCUAUCAGAUGGACCCGCGCUAGAUUAGAUAGUUGGUGAGGUAAUGGCUCACCAAGUCUACGAUCUAUAGUUGGUUUGAGAAGAUGACCAGCCACAUUGGGACUGAGACACGGCCCAGACUCC
This 241-nucleotide ribosomal RNA is filed under the name uncultured bacterium. RNAcentral's name for it is "partial 16S ribosomal RNA". It matches the Rfam family "Bacterial small subunit ribosomal RNA", at positions 80 to 339 of the family's 1533-position model. The record is from RNAcentral.